RNAcentral lists this transfer RNA (78 nucleotides) under Desulfurococcales archaeon ex4484_217_1. RNAcentral's name for it is "tRNA-Val". It matches the Rfam family "tRNA". Rfam says of the family: Transfer RNA (tRNA) molecules are approximately 80 nucleotides in length. Their secondary structure includes four short double-helical elements and three loops (D, anti-codon, and T loops). The record is from RNAcentral. RNAcentral also lists the same sequence under 3 other names. Lineage: Archaea; Thermoproteati; Thermoproteota; Thermoprotei; Desulfurococcales.
GGGCCCGUCGUCUAGCCCGGUUAGGAUGCCGCCCUGACGAGGCGGUGGUCCGGGGUUCAAAUCCCCGCGGGCCCACCA